UUGUUACUCUUAACGAUCGAUUGUGAAUUGAAACAACAUUUCAAUUUUCCCUUUGAUUUGUGUUGGCUAAUCUUCAAGGCUUCCACAAACCAUGAGUGACACCUAGCAGCAUAUCAUGGUUACCCAAGCUAAGUAGAAGUGGUUGGAGAACCUAUCUAGUUACAACUACAAUGCAAUACGGUUCUUCUCUAAUACAAUACUCUUAAUCACAUUGUUUGAGUGAUAGUUUGUUUCAUGUCUACUAUCCAAUGUGAUACUUCUCUAUAUGAUUCGAUUAAAUAUGAUUUGGAACAAAUUUCCUAAGUCAUAUUCAAAUGCUUUGGCCAAAGACUCCCGAAUCAUAUCUUAGAGUAUUUUCUUUCCACCAUAGAAGGUUAGAGAUCCCUUGUUGUGCAUUCAUAUGCCUACAUGACUAGAUAGCUUGA
RNAcentral lists this long non-coding RNA (425 nucleotides) under Malus domestica (apple). RNAcentral's name for it is "long non-coding RNA (MDOM_LNC000126)". Lineage: Eukaryota; Viridiplantae; Streptophyta; Magnoliopsida; Rosales; Rosaceae. The record is from RNAcentral.